UCAUUGCAUCUCCGAAGUGAGAUCCCUUUGGAAGAGAGCGAGCCGGCGGGAACGCACGAGUCCUCUCUGAAGAGGCGGGUGUGAGCGGGUGAGGGAAGGAGAGAGCGGCGGAGGAAGGAGAGAGAGGGGGCGCACAGAGCCGAAGACGUCUCCACGGAGAGGCGGUUGCCACCCUGCUCGCGAGCACCGCAGUGUCACCCGCGACGCAGCAAAGGCGCGACAAGAGCCCCCAAAAGGUCUCUCUCAGCGCGACAGUCACCACUGCCCAGAAGCCCCUCGGACAAAUAGCACCUUAGCGCCUACGAGUCUGCACAUGCUCCGUGCGCUAUAGCGCAGCAAGGCUGUGGCCGUGGGGC
Molecule: long non-coding RNA, 356 nt
Filed under: Marmota monax (woodchuck)
Lineage: Eukaryota; Metazoa; Chordata; Mammalia; Rodentia; Sciuridae
Source: RNAcentral